UUUUUUUUUUUUUUUUUCCUUUUGAGACAAGAGUCUCACUGUGUUGCCCAGGCUGAAGUGCGGUGAUGUGGUCUCAGCUCACUGCAACCUCUGACCCCUGGGUUCAAGCAAUUCUUCUGUCUCAGCCUCCUGAGUAGCUGGGACUACAGGUGUGCGCCACCACACCUGGCUAAUAUUUGUAUUUUUGGUAGAGAUGGGGUUUCACCAUAUUGACCAGGCUGAUCUCAAACUCCUGACCUUGUGAUCCAUUCGCCUUGGCCUCCUAAAUUGCUAGGAUUACAGAUGUGAGCCACCACGCCCAGCUUCUGGGUCUUAUUUAAGCCUCUGUUUCAGCUGGUACUUUCUGUCAGCCUCUGUCAGGGAAAGGGAGGCAGCACCUUCUCACUGCCAGGCAGAAGUAGAAGCUCGGGUUUCUCACUCAGCCUCUGCUGACACCUGAGGUGCAGGUGGGGACUCCUCAUUACAGCUGAGUGGGAAUGGGAGUUCUGGCUUUCUGUGUGGUCUUCUCUGACCUUGCUGCAGGUGGGGAAAUCAGUAUCAGCUAGUGAGGAUCAAAGCCCCAACUCCCUACUUGGUCUUCUCAGCAGGGAUGUUGCUGUCAGUGGGCGGGGGAAAUGGCAGGGUCACUCAGCUCCCAGGUUUUCCAAUUGAGCAGGACAAAACUGCCUCCUGCUGUGGUGGAGAGGGCAUCUAGGGGCAGGGUGCAUGUUGGGGACAGAUCAGGACACCUCGAGGUGCCUUUCAGAGGGUUGCAGCAAUUGGCGUGCUGGCGUUGGCUGCCAGCGGGUGCAAGCCAUGAAGCAUGAGAUCACCAAGGACGGAGGGUCAGGCUUCUGGAUGUGCCCAGUCAGGGUGACAGACAGGCUGGAGCUGCUGGCCAGGCAGGCGAGACACUCUAGGGCCAGCUGGGUGGUCCUUCACGUCGCUAAACGUCCACAUGUUUCCUUACUGUGUCAUUAGCUGUGUCUGGUCUGAGGCUUCGCAUGAGGCUGAGAGCAGGUCAUGAGCAAAGGAAUCCAUUUUGAAAGCUCCGGGUGAGCCUGAGAAGUGUCCCAUGGGGAGAACCAGACAGGUUGUGUGGCCUGGGGAGUCACUCAGCCCCUCUGUGUUUGAGGACUCAGUUCUGUGCAUGGGGCUGGCAUGAGGCACAGAGCAUUCACCCAGUCUGUGUGGAUGAGCUGUGCCACAGGGACAGCUCUGCCCCGUCACCUCUGCACCCUAUUGUCAUUCUGCACAUCUGCAGUGACCCUCCUAAAGGAGCAGGCUUAUCCUCCCCACAGCCCCAGGGCCUCGCUCAGAAAGGCCAUGUGGAGGCCACGGUAAGAAUGUUCAUUUCUGUAGGGUUACUCAGCAAGCAUUUGUAACUUGGUCUCAGAGCACCCACCAUAUCCUGAGUACUGCUCUGCUUGCAGGGCAUGGAGCAGCCAACAAGAGAUGAGGUCACAGUGAAAUCAGUGGAUGACCA
RNAcentral lists this long non-coding RNA (1465 nucleotides) under Macaca fascicularis (crab-eating macaque). RNAcentral's name for it is "lncRNA (ENSMFAG00000063283.1)". The record is from RNAcentral. Lineage: Eukaryota; Metazoa; Chordata; Mammalia; Primates; Cercopithecidae.